UAUGAGUGUAGCACUGCCUGGCACCAGAUAACGUUUCAUAAAAAUUGCACGCUAAUUCGUUAACCCCUAUUAGAAUUUUACCAUUUCAAUUGGGCAAAUAGGGAUUUUUGCCUACAAGUAUUGGUAUUGCAUGGUGAUAUAGAGAUAUUGACUGCAUCGUUUGUUCACUUUGGGGAGGUAUGGUAUAAAUAGCGAUUCGGGCUGAGUGUUGUUACAUUAUUGUAAGAAAUAACCGUCACUAAGUAACAUGAAGUAUACAGGUGAAAAAAGCUGUCUGGCAUUAAUAUUUUUUGCCAUUAUUGCCUUAACUCUGUGCAUUGCUAAUGCUCAAUUAGUUGGUACUUGUGGGCCCCAAGGUAAUCCGUGUUCUCGAGACCAGGAUUGUGAAACAAGAGAAUGCAAUUUUGGAUAAUUUCCAGGAAGCAAAUAAUAGCUCAAUCGAAAAGUUUACACCAGCUGGAAGGAAAAUAUAUUGGAUUUAAUUUAAAAAAACUAUUUGUUAUGAUACUUGAAAAUAUUUUUACCAUGGAAUAGAAAAAUUAAAAAAUCUACAACUAAUUCGGCUAA
Long non-coding RNA from Stomoxys calcitrans (stable fly), 567 nucleotides. RefSeq lists it as uncharacterized. The record is from RefSeq and is a predicted model, not a curated record. The transcript has 2 exons. Lineage: Eukaryota; Metazoa; Arthropoda; Insecta; Diptera; Muscidae.